Molecule: long non-coding RNA, 982 nt
Filed under: Eucalyptus grandis
Lineage: Eukaryota; Viridiplantae; Streptophyta; Magnoliopsida; Myrtales; Myrtaceae
Description: long non-coding RNA (EGRA_LNC004945)
Source: RNAcentral
GCGUACUUAAUAAAAGAAUUCACCAUGCUUAAUGCCAAACCUGAGACUGAGAGUUCGAUCCCUUAUUCUCAGCUUGCCCCUUCUUCUACGCAAACACCUUAAUAGCUCCUUCUAUAACUAUUAUAUCUAACAGCAGAUUCGGUUGUGUAAACUCCCCCAGGACGAAGGGAAGGCUUUCAUUCACCUUGCAUACUGUGAGAGCUAACUAGUUACUUUCUUACCUUGCUUACCUUUUGGACUAUAGGAGCUAUCGAAUUGACUUAGUGAAUCUUCCCGCCUACUCCUGCCCUUACUAAUGGGAAAUCAGUUACUUGCUUGACUAAUUCUUUCGAAAAUGUCACUCUAUUGGUCCUAUCUAAUGUCAUGUCAAACUUGAAAACAGAACCUUCGCAUUCCUCCUAACUCCCAACAGCUUCUCAAGCAGGGGAUUUGUCGAAAACAACCUAUCUGUCCCCUUGCUUGAAGCUCUCACCCUAUUCUUGCGCAAACCAAGUUCACUGCCUGAAUUUAGGAGUGAAAUAACCCGCUAUGAGUAUAUGGGACUCUGACUUAAGCUGGAGUAGUGGUGAUUUGAGCUUUUGAUGGGUUAAUCCCGGUUUCCAUCUUUGAACUUUGAGGUAAUGACCAGCAAUCGCCCAUGGCCCAAUUUUUAAAGCGAGCUCAGCUGCCCCAACGUUUUCCAUUAUGAGAAAGUAGAAUCCUGAUCCUAAAUCAAUUAGGUCAAGUUCUCCCUGCGGUUUCCACCAACUUGAAAUGAGUAUCUCCAUAGCAUUUGAACCUAUUUACUUCACCAGAAGUUUUUUAAUGGGAGAACUCCUCCAUGGUCUCUCGAGAAAUUCCUCUCAUUUAUGAUCCCCUUGAUUCAGUAUGGGUGCUCGUUAUCUGGGCGCAGGAGUUCGAUCUUAUCAAGAUUAAACAAAGUAGCCUUGUUGAACCAUAUUGGUUCUUUCUUUUUAUCCUGCUUCUUUGAGGAGCUCCCCAC